AUUGUUGGCUUGCCUGUAUUGUCAUUGGCUGCGUGGUGUGCCAUCAUCGGUCGUGACGUUGUGGGAAGAGCGCAGAGAGGCGGAGAAACGAAGUCGGGGAAACAGAUUAAAAACCAAGGCUGGUGCCCCUGCCUCGGUUUGUCAGUACUGCGAGAAAACUUAAUUACCGAAAGAGCCUGCAUGCUAAAACAGGCUUUGAAGCUGCUUUUUUUGUCUAACACGAGGGAGGCUCGACGCUGAACACACCGGCGGCGCGAAGGUGUCACCAGAGAGAUUGUUGAGACAUUGUUGAGGAUGACGGAGACAUUGUCCACGAUCAGAGACAUUGUCCAUGACUCGCACAGACAUGUGCAAAAGUCUGGCAUUGCCCGGAUUCAGAGAGACAUUAUCGAUGAUCACAGAGACACAGCCUAUGAUCUCAGAGACGUAGUCCAUGAUCGCAGAGAGUCUGCAUACAAUAAAGGAGUUCUUUGAGACCAGGACAGAGGCCUCUAGGUGUCACCACUUCAUCCACGACAUCAUCCACGAUCGCAGAGACAUGGUCCAUGAUCGGAGAGACAUUGUUGAGGAUGAGGGAGACAUCGUCCACGAUCAGGGACAUUGUCCGUGAUCACAGAGACCUUGUCAAAGAUGAGAGAGACGUUGUCCGUGAUCAGAGACAUUGUCCGUGCUUCGUAGAGACCUUGCGAUAGAAUCGGCGGAGACGGGGGUCACCGAUUUGACGGCACUGCCCGCGAUCAGGGACAUUGUUAAUGAUCACAGAGACACCGUCGAUGAUCUCAGAGACAUCGUCCACGAUCACAAUGACACAGGCCAUGAUCGCAGAGACUUUGUCCAUAAUCUCAGAGACAUUGUCUGCGAUCACAGACGUAGUCCACGAUCACAGAGAGUCUUCGUACAAUGAAGAAGUUCUUUGAGACCAGGACAGAGGCCUCCAGGUGUCACCACUUCAUCCACGACAUCGUCCACGAUCGCAGAGACAUGGUCCAUGAUCGGAGAGACAUUGUUGAGGAUGAGGGAGACAUCGUCCACGAUCAGGGACAUUGUCCGUGAUCACAGAGACCUUGUCAAAGAUGAGAGAGACGUUGUCCGUGAUCAGAGACAUUGUCCGUGCUUCGUAGAGACCUUGCAAUAGAAUCGGCGGAGACGGGGGUCACCGAUUUGACGGCACUGCCCGCGAUCAGGGACAUUGUUAAUGAUCACAGAGACACCGUCGAUGAUCUCAGAGACAUCGUCCACGAUCACAAUGACACAGGCCAUGAUCGCAGAGACUUUGUCCAUAAUCUCAGAGACAUUGUCUGCGAUCACAGACGUAGUCCACGAUCACAGAGAGUCUUCGUACAAUGAAGAAGUUCUUUGAGACCAGGACAGAGGCCUCCAGGUGUCACCACUUCACCCACGACAUCGUCCACGAUCGCAGAGACAUGGUCCAUGAUCGGAGAGACAUUGUUGAGGAUGAGGGAGACAUCGUCCACGAUCAGGGACAUUGUCCGUGAUCACAGAGACCUUGUCAAAGAUGAGAGAGACGUUGUCCGUGAUCAGAGACAUUGUCCGUGCUUCGUAGAGACCUUGCGAUAGAAUCGGCGGAGACGGGGGUCACCGAUUUGACGGCACUGCCCGCGAUCAGGGACAUUGUUAAUGAUCACAGAGACACCGUCGAUGAUCUCAGAGACAUCGUCCACGAUCACAAUGACACAGGCCAUGAUCGCAGAGACUUUGUCCAUAAUCUCAGAGACAUUGUCUGCGAUCACAGACGUAGUCCACGAUCACAGAGAGUCUUCGUACAAUGAAGAAGUUCUUUGAGACCAGGACAGAGGCCUCCAGAAGGAGAGGACAUCAGCAGCUGAAGACCUGUAGCGGAUGAAAGAAAACAGAAGUGUUAUGAAGCUGUUGGAAAAAAGACCUCCACCAUCUAACUGCUGCAAACAGUGUUUCCUGUUGUUCAAGUGAAAACACUUUUUUCUGUUUUUCUUUACCAUCUGUAAUGUAGUCAUGAGCACAUUUUCCACAGACUAAGAUGUUCUUAUUAAACACCUGUGAGAACGUUCAACUGCUUAUGAUACAACUUUAAGUAAUAAUUGUAUCACAAAGACGCUUUGUAGACAUGUUCGUCUUUGGAAAAUGUGUUCAUUAACCCUAACUCUAACAAGUGUUUCCUUGUGGUCAAAUGUCUAUCUUUGCUGUGAUUUGUUAAA
Molecule: long non-coding RNA, 2195 nt
Organism: Lates calcarifer (barramundi perch)
Lineage: Eukaryota; Metazoa; Chordata; Actinopteri; Centropomidae
Exons: 6
Source: RefSeq, a predicted model, not a curated record